GAGACCGGCGCACGGGUGCGUAACGCGUAUGCAAUCUACCUUUCACAAAGGGAUAGCCCAGAGAAAUUUGGAUUAAUACCUUAUAGUAUAUAUGAAUGGCAUCAUUUAUAUAUUAAAGAUUUAUCGGUGAAAGAUGAGCAUGCGUCCCAUUAGCUAGUUGGUAAGGUAACGGCUUACCAAGGCAACGAUGGGUAGGGGUCCUGAGAGGGAGAUCCCCCACACUGGUACUGAGACACGGACCAGACUCCUACGGGAGGCAGCAGUGAGGAAUAUUGGACAAUGGGCGCAAGCCUGAUCCAGCCAUGCCGCGUGCAGGAUGACGGUCCUAUGGAUUGUAAACUGCUUUUAUACGAGAAGAAACCCUCCGACGUGUCGGAGCUUGACGGUAUCGUAAGAAUAAGGAUCGGCUAACUCCGUGCCAGCAGCCGCGGUAAUACGGAGGAUCCAAGCGUUAUCCGGAAUCAUUGGGUUUAAAGGGUCCGUAGGCGGUCAGAUAAGUCAGUGGUGAAAGCCCAUCGCUCAACGGUGGAACGGCCAUUGAUACUGUCUGACUUGAAUUAUUAGGAAGUAACUAGAAUAUGUAGUGUAGCGGUGAAAUGCUUAGAGAUUACAUGGAAUACCAAUUGCGAA
RNAcentral lists this ribosomal RNA (630 nucleotides) under Flavobacterium sp. B393_2. RNAcentral describes it as "bacterial SSU rRNA". It matches the Rfam family "Bacterial small subunit ribosomal RNA", at positions 91 to 719 of the family's 1533-position model. Lineage: Bacteria; Pseudomonadati; Bacteroidota; Flavobacteriia; Flavobacteriales; Flavobacteriaceae. The record is from RNAcentral.